AGAACAAGUUUAACAAAUUGAAAUGUAAUUUUCCAGAGCUCUGUGCAAUUACAAAUCUGUGUAAUUCGCGCAGUCAGUUUCAACUCUUAAUUUUAUGCGAAUUGUUUUUUUAAUUUUCAUAAUGAUGCAAUGAGCUAUGCCACUUCGGAACUGAACGAGAAUGUUUUUUGUGGGCUACGCAGGGGCCGUAGCCACAGUAAUUGCCAUGGCCUGGAACGCAGACAGGAGCUGGGAGCUUCGAGCAGGAUACGGAAAAUGCAAGACUUUGCUAACUCUUAGAAUCAGACACAGACCCAGCGUCACGCAGACAAUUAUGUUCUCGCAAAUAUGUAAAUGUGCAUAUAAAUGUGGGUAUGAGUGUGUACAGGUCCUUAAAUGUAUGCGCGGUUUUACCUUUUAUGUGAAAAGUUUGACACUUUAUGAGAAAGAGAAGUUCACUUAAACAGUUCAAGCGGAUAAGGGAGAAAAUUAACAUUUAUAUAUUUUUACGCUAAAUAGGAUCUACUAUGAUGUGUAGAAUGUUUUCGAGGUCUAGAGUGUACAGUGCUUGGACGAGA
Molecule: small RNA, 557 nt
Filed under: Drosophila virilis
Lineage: Eukaryota; Metazoa; Arthropoda; Insecta; Diptera; Drosophilidae
Description: GJ26472
Source: RNAcentral